Schistosoma margrebowiei is the source of this 76-nucleotide non-coding RNA. The record is from Rfam. Lineage: Eukaryota; Metazoa; Platyhelminthes; Trematoda; Strigeidida; Schistosomatidae.
AGCUUUUCGAAUCCGUGCAGAUUUCGCCUGACACCUACUCAUUAGGGCUGAUCAGACUUCCAAGAUAAGUGAAGUU